This 1428-nucleotide ribosomal RNA is filed under the name Vibrio ichthyoenteri. Its description in RNAcentral is "bacterial SSU rRNA". It matches the Rfam family "Bacterial small subunit ribosomal RNA". The record is from RNAcentral. Lineage: Bacteria; Pseudomonadati; Pseudomonadota; Gammaproteobacteria; Vibrionales; Vibrionaceae.
UAACACAUGCAAGUCGAGCGGUAACAUUUCGAAAGCUUGCUUUUGAAGAUGACGAGCGGCGGACGGGUGAGUAAUGCCUGGGAAUAUGCCUUGAUGUGGGGGAUAACCAUUGGAAACGAUGGCUAAUACCGCAUAAUGCCUACGGGCCAAAGAGGGGGAUCUUCGGACCUCUCGCGUCAAGAUUAGCCCAGGUGGGAUUAGCUAGUUGGUGAGGUAAUGGCUCACCAAGGCGACGAUCCCUAGCUGGUCUGAGAGGAUGAUCAGCCACACUGGAACUGAGACACGGUCCAGACUCCUACGGGAGGCAGCAGUGGGGAAUAUUGCACAAUGGGCGCAAGCCUGAUGCAGCCAUGCCGCGUGUGUGAAGAAGGCCUUCGGGUUGUAAAGCACUUUCAGUCGUGAGGAAGGUAGUUGCGUUAAUAGCGUAAUUAUUUGACGUUAGCGACAGAAGAAGCACCGGCUAACUCCGUGCCAGCAGCCGCGGUAAUACGGAGGGUGCGAGCGUUAAUCGGAAUUACUGGGCGUAAAGCGCAUGCAGGUGGUUUGUUAAGUCAGAUGUGAAAGCCCGGGGCUCAACCUCGGAAUUGCAUUUGAAACUGGCAGACUAGAGUACUGUAGAGGGGGGUAGAAUUUCAGGUGUAGCGGUGAAAUGCGUAGAGAUCUGAAGGAAUACCGGUGGCGAAGGCGGCCCCCUGGACAGAUACUGACACUCAGAUGCGAAAGCGUGGGGAGCAAACAGGAUUAGAUACCCUGGUAGUCCACGCCGUAAACGAUGUCUACUUGGAGGUUGUGGCCUUGAGCCGUGGCUUUCGGAGCUAACGCGUUAAGUAGACCGCCUGGGGAGUACGGUCGCAAGAUUAAAACUCAAAUGAAUUGACGGGGGCCCGCACAAGCGGUGGAGCAUGUGGUUUAAUUCGAUGCAACGCGAAGAACCUUACCUACUCUUGACAUCCAGAGAAGCCAGCGGAGACGCAGGUGUGCCUUCGGGAACUCUGAGACAGGUGCUGCAUGGCUGUCGUCAGCUCGUGUUGUGAAAUGUUGGGUUAAGUCCCGCAACGAGCGCAACCCUUAUCCUUGUUUGCCAGCGAGUAAUGUCGGGAACUCCAGGGAGACUGCCGGUGAUAAACCGGAGGAAGGUGGGGACGACGUCAAGUCAUCAUGGCCCUUACGAGUAGGGCUACACACGUGCUACAAUGGCGCAUACAGAGGGCUGCCAACCAGCGAUGGUGAGCGAAUCCCAAAAAGUGCGUCGUAGUCCGGAUUGGAGUCUGCAACUCGACUCCAUGAAGUCGGAAUCGCUAGUAAUCGUGGAUCAGAAUGCCACGGUGAAUACGUUCCCGGGCCUUGUACACACCGCCCGUCACACCAUGGGAGUGGGCUGCAAAAGAAGUGGGUAGUUUAACCUUUCGAGGAGGACGCUCACCACUU